This 465-nucleotide ribosomal RNA is filed under the name Vreelandella stevensii. RNAcentral's name for it is "partial 16S ribosomal RNA". It matches the Rfam family "Bacterial small subunit ribosomal RNA", at positions 338 to 795 of the family's 1533-position model. Lineage: Bacteria; Pseudomonadati; Pseudomonadota; Gammaproteobacteria; Oceanospirillales; Halomonadaceae. The record is from RNAcentral.
CCUACGGGCGGCAGCAGUGGGGAAUAUUGGACAAUGGGCGAAAGCCUGAUCCAGCCAUGCCGCGUGUGUGAAGAAGGCCUUCGGGUUGUAAAGCACUUUCAGUGGGGAAGAAAGCCUUGGGGCUAAUACCCUCGAGGAAGGACAUCACCCACAGAAGAAGCACCGGCUAACUCCGUGCCAGCAGCCGCGGUAAUACGGAGGGUGCGAGCGUUAAUCGGAAUUACUGGGCGUAAAGCGCGCGUAGGCGGUCUGAUAAGCCGGUUGUGAAAGCCCCGGGCUCAACCUGGGAACGGCAUCCGGAACUGUCAGGCUAGAGUGCAGGAGAGGAAGGUAGAAUUCCCGGUGUAGCGGUGAAAUGCGUAGAGAUCGGGAGGAAUACCAGUGGCGAAGGCGGCCUUCUGGACUGACACUGACGCUGAGGUGCGAAAGCGUGGGUAGCAAACAGGAUUAGAUACCCGAGUAAUC